GUAGGGAAUUUUGCGCAAUGGACGGAAGUCUGACGCAGCAACUCCGCGUGAGGGAUGAAUGUCUUCGGAUUGUAAACCUCUGUUGAGUGGGAAGAAAGGUUUUAAUGCUAAUACCAUUAGGAUUUGACGGUACCAUUCGAGGAAGCUCCGGCUAACUACGUGCCAGCAGCCGCGGUAAUACGUAGGGAGCUAGCGUUGUUCGGAAUUACUGGGUGUAAAGGGAGCGUAGGCGGGGAGGUAAGUUAGGAGUGAAAUGUAUAGGCUUAACCUAUAGACUGCUUUUAAUACUGCUUUUCUUGAGUAUGGGAGAGGAAGAUGGAAUUCCAGGUGUAGUGGUAAAAUACGUAGAUAUCUGGAAGAACACCAGUUGUGAAGACGGUCUUCUGGCCCAAUACUGACGCUGAGGCUCGAAAGCUAGGGGAGCAAACAGGAUUAGAUACCCGGGUAGUCC
RNAcentral lists this ribosomal RNA (451 nucleotides) under uncultured bacterium. RNAcentral's name for it is "bacterial SSU rRNA". It matches the Rfam family "Bacterial small subunit ribosomal RNA", at positions 354 to 796 of the family's 1533-position model. The record is from RNAcentral.